This 253-nucleotide ribosomal RNA is filed under the name uncultured bacterium. RNAcentral's name for it is "partial 16S ribosomal RNA". It matches the Rfam family "Bacterial small subunit ribosomal RNA", at positions 524 to 776 of the family's 1533-position model. The record is from RNAcentral.
UACAGAGGUCUCAAGCGUUGUUCGGAUUCAUUGGGCGUAAAGGGUGCGUAGGCGGCGAGGCAAGUCUGGUGUGAAAUCCCGGGGCUCAACCCCGGAACUGCACUGGAUACUGCUUUGCUAGAGUACUGGAGAGGGAACUGGAAUUUACGGUGUAGCAGUGAAAUGCGUAGAUAUCGUAAGGAAGACCAGCGGCGAAGGCGAGUUCCUGUACAGUUACUGACGCUGAGGCACGAAGGCCAGGUGAGCAAACGGG